RNAcentral lists this ribosomal RNA (251 nucleotides) under uncultured bacterium. RNAcentral's name for it is "partial 16S ribosomal RNA". It matches the Rfam family "Bacterial small subunit ribosomal RNA", at positions 80 to 334 of the family's 1533-position model. The record is from RNAcentral.
CCAAAAGCUGGCGACCGGCGCACGGGUGAGUAACACGUAUCCAACCUGCCUCAUGCUCGGGGAUAGCCUUUCGAAAGAAAGAUUAAUAUCCGAUAGCAUAUAUUUCCCGCAUGGGUUUUAUAUUAAAGAAAUUCGGUAUGAGAUGGGGAUGCGUUCCAUUAGUUUGUUGGGGGGUAACGGCCCACCAAGACUACGAUGGAUAGGGGUUCUGAGAGGAAGGUCCCCCACAUUGGAACUGAGACACGGUCCAA